RNAcentral lists this transfer RNA (58 nucleotides) under Cephaloleia cf. stevensi McKenna-2319. RNAcentral describes it as "tRNA-Leu". The record is from RNAcentral. Lineage: Eukaryota; Metazoa; Arthropoda; Insecta; Coleoptera; Chrysomelidae.
UAUGGCAGAUUAGUGCAAUGGACUUAAACCCCAAAUAUAAAGAAAGCUUUUUUUAGAA